CUUGCUCUUGUGGAUCAGUGGCGAACGGGUGAGUAACACGUGAGCAACCUGCCCCUGACUCUGGGAUAAGCGCUGGAAACGGCGUCUAAUACUGGAUAUGUGACGUGACCGCAUGGUCUGCGUUUGGAAAGAUUUUUCGGUUGGGGAUGGGCUCGCGGCCUAUCAGCUUGUUGGUGAGGUAAUGGCUCACCAAGGCGUCGACGGGUAGCCGGCCUGAGAGGGUGACCGGCCACACUGGGACUGAGACACGGCCCAGACUCCUACGGGAGGCAGCAGUGGGGAAUAUUGCACAAUGGGCGAAAGCCUGAUGCAGCAACGCCGCGUGAGGGAUGACGGCCUUCGGGUUGUAAACCUCUUUUAGCAGGGAAGAAGCGAAAGUGACGGUACCUGCAGAAAAAGCGCCGGCUAACUACGUGCCAGCAGCCGCGGUAAUACGUAGGGCGCAAGCGUUAUCCGGAAUUAUUGGGCGUAAAGAGCUCGUAGGCGGUUUGUCGCGUCUGCUGUGAAAUCCCGAGGCUCAACCUCGGGCCUGCAGUGGGUACGGGCAGACUAGAGUGCGGUAGGGGAGAUUGGAAUUCCUGGUGUAGCGGUGGAAUGCGCAGAUAUCAGGAGGAACACCGAUGGCGAAGGCAGAUCUCUGGGCCGUAACUGACGCUGAGGAGCGAAAGGGUGGGGAGCAAACAGGCUUAGAUACCCUGGUAGUCCACCCCGUAAACGUUGGGAACUAGUUGUGGGGGUCCAUUCCACGGAUUCCGUGACGCAGCUAACGCAUUAAGUUCCCCGCCUGGGGGAGUACGGCCGCAAGGCUAAAACUCAAAGGAAUUGACGGGGACCCGCACAAGCGGCGGAGCAUGCGGAUUAAUUCGAUGCAACGCGAAGAACCCUUACCAAGGCUUGACAUAUACGAGAACGGGCCAGAAAUGGUCAACUCUUUGGACACUCGUAAACAGGUGGUGCAUGGUUGUCGUCAGCUCGUGUCGUGAGAUGUUGGGUUAAGUCCCGCAACGAGCGCAACCCUCGUUCUAUGUUGCCAGCACGUAAUGGUGGGAACUCAUGGGAUACUGCCGGGGUCAACUCGGAGGAAGGUGGGGAUGACGUCAAAUCAUCAUGCCCCUUAUGUCUUGGGCUUCACGCAUGCUACAAUGGCCGGUACAAAGGGCUGCAAUACCGUGAGGUGGAGCGAAUCCCAAAAAGCCGGUCCCAGUUCGGAUUGAGGUCUGCAACUCGACCUCAUGAAGUCGGAGUCGCUAGUAAUCGCA
Molecule: ribosomal RNA, 1259 nt
Filed under: Microbacterium sp.
Lineage: Bacteria; Bacillati; Actinomycetota; Actinomycetes; Micrococcales; Microbacteriaceae
Description: bacterial SSU rRNA
Rfam family: Bacterial small subunit ribosomal RNA
Source: RNAcentral